This 1734-nucleotide long non-coding RNA is filed under the name Homo sapiens (human). RNAcentral's name for it is "novel transcript". The record is from RNAcentral. Lineage: Eukaryota; Metazoa; Chordata; Mammalia; Primates; Hominidae.
GCCUCUCUCCUCCUCUCCAAGAGACGAAUACAUUUGGGCCCAGUAGGGACCUAUGUUUGCAAAAGCUCGCAGGCGAUUCUCAUGCAGACAGCCUGGCUCUGGCACUGAGUUCUUGGACACUUCUGGAGGCACAUUUACUAGUGAGGAAGAUCACUGUGUGCUGAAGGCAUGACUCAUCUUCCAUUCCUUUCUUCCAUAAAGCAAGGCGCAUGGGUCGACUGAGCUGGGAGAGUCCACGGUGUCAGCCUCCCCCACGCUUCCCUCCCUCCUUAUUCCUUGUGUGCUGUACUUUGUCUUGAUUUCCUGUACUCUGCACCAAGCCAGGAGAUGGGUGUCUCAAGCUCCUGCUCUUAAAACACCUGCAAGAGAAUCAUCCAGGCGGCUUGCUCGCUCUGUAUGCAGACCCUUUAGAAUCAGAAUCAGAAUCCCUGGGGCUGGAGCCACAAAAUGAAAUGACAUUUCAACAAGUUUGUCAUCACGUAAGAGAGAAUAGGAUCUUGCUCUGUCACCCAGGCUGGAGCACAGUGGCACCGUCUUGGCUCACUGUAGCCUUUGCCUCCUGGGCUCAAGCAGUCUUCCCACCUCAGCCUUCCUGAGUAGCUGGAACUACAGAAACUCCUGGAGGGCAGAUGCAUGCCUGCCAUCUUCAUCGUUUCAUUACCACCAUCCAACACUAUCGGGGGACCUGCCCUGAUAAUCAGUCUACAGGUGUAUCCAGCAGCUCCAGAGAGACAGCGACCAGCGAGAAGGGGCCAUGAUGAUGGUGGUGGUUUUGUCAAAAUGAAAAGGGGGAUAUGUAGGGAAAAGAAAGAGAGAUCAGACUGUUACUGUGUCUACAUAGAAAGGGAAGCCAUAAGAGACUCCAUUUUGAAAAAGACCUGUACUUUAAACAAUUGCUUGCUGAGAUGUUGUUUAUCUGUAGCUUUGCCCCAGCCACUUUGCCGCAACCACUUUGACCCAAUCUGGAGCUCACAAAAACAUGUUUGUAUGAAAUCAAGGUUUAAGGCAUGUAGGGCUGUGCAGGACGUGCCUUGUUAACCAAAUAUUUGGAAGCAGUAUACUUGGUAAAAGUCAUCACCAUUCUCUCGUCUCAAUAAACCAGGGGCACAAUGCACUGUGGAAAGCCGCAGGGACCUCUGCCCUUGAAAGCUGGGUAUUGUCCAUGGUUUCUUCCCAUGUGAUAGUCUGAAAUAUGGCCUCAUGGGAUGAGAAAGACCUGACGGUCCCCCAGCUCGACACCCAUAAAGUGUCUGUGCUGAGGUGGAUUAGUCAAAGAGGAAAGCCUCUUGCAGUUGAGAUAGAGGAAGGCCGCUGUCUCAUGCUUGCCCCCUGGGAACUGAAUGUCUCGGUAUAAAACACGAUUGUACAUUUGUUCAAUUCUGAGAUGGGAGAAAAACCACCCUAUGGUGGGAGGCGAGACAUGUUUACAGCAAUGCUGCCUUGUUAUUCUUUACUCCACUGAGAUGUCUGGGUGCAGAGAAACAUAAAUCUGGCUUACAUGCACGUCCAGUCAUAGUACCUUCCCUUGAACUUCAUUAUGUCAUAGAUUCUAUUGCUCACAUGUUUGUUGCUGACCUUCUCCUUAUUAUCACCUUGCCCUCCUACUACAUUCAUUUUUGCUGAAAUAAUGAAGAUAAUAAUCAAUAAAAACUGAGGGAACUCAGAGAACGGUGCCAGUGCAGGUCCUUGGUAUGCUAAGCGCCGGUCCCCUGGGCCCACUGUUGUUUCUCUAUA